RNAcentral lists this ribosomal RNA (253 nucleotides) under uncultured bacterium. RNAcentral describes it as "partial 16S ribosomal RNA". It matches the Rfam family "Bacterial small subunit ribosomal RNA", at positions 524 to 776 of the family's 1533-position model. The record is from RNAcentral.
UACAGAGGGGGCAAGCGUUAUUCGGAAUUAUUGGGCGUAAAGGGCGCGUAGGCGGCUUUUCAAGUGUCGGGUGAAAUCCCUCGGCUUAACCGAGGAACUGCCUGUCAGACUGGAAGGCUUGAGACCGGGAGAGGUGAGUGGAAUUCCCAGUGUAGCGGUGAAAUGCGUAGAUAUUGGGAGGAACACCAGUGGCGAAGGCGGCUCACUGGACCGGAACUGACGCUGAGGCGCGAAAGCGUGGGGAGCAAACAGG